Molecule: long non-coding RNA, 1296 nt
Filed under: Homo sapiens (human)
Lineage: Eukaryota; Metazoa; Chordata; Mammalia; Primates; Hominidae
Description: non-protein coding lnc-TTLL7-3:1
Source: RNAcentral
CCAGCUGGCAGAGCCUGGGGCGGGGGCCUGAGCUCCAGGUCCGAGAGGAGCCGCACCGUCGGGUUGGAGAUCGCGCGCAAGGGUGGCCUCUGGGUCUGCAUCUGCCCCGCAUCGGCCACAGGAAAAGCCUGGUCCCUAGGCACGGUCGUGGUUCGAGCUUUUCGUUCUCUCGCACAUUGAGGUAUUCGCUCAGCCCACCACGUUGUCCUCGGGGUUAUUAGGCCCCAGUCACAAGCCCUAUGAUGUUUUCAGACUUCCCAGGUGGAGAUAAAGGAAAAUUUUACUAUUUCUGCAGAACUUCUGUUGAUGUACAGCAUUGUAUUUAGCAACUUCUGUGUAGAUCUGAAAAUAAAUACAUUACCAAUUGUUAGUUGCGUUUUUAUUAAUAUAAAUCUUAGAGUACUUGAUUUUGCUGUUAGCUUUACUUAGGUAAAUUAUGUGGCACUCUAGCAUUUUUGUUGUUGCAUGUUCCAUUGAACUUUGCUCUGUGUUUUCCAUUUAUUCCAAAUUCAAAAUAGACUGUAACUUCCCAAUUUAUUCUAUGUUCCCAAGGCACCAGGCAUAGUAGGUGUUUUAUGAAUACCUGUUGACUUGAAAUUUCUCAGACUUUUAAAAAAUUUUUCAUUACUGACAAAAGAUGGAGCGAUAAAAAGAUUCUUAGUACACUUCCUAUUAUUGCCAAUUCUAUUAGUAAUGUAUACUGCAUUACAACUUCUAUACAAGCAGUAACUCAUUUGCUCCUCAUAAGAACCCUAUGAGAGAUGUGGUUUUACUGUCAUCAUUUUAGGAGCAAAUUAAGGCACAAAGAAGUGACUUACCCAAGGUUACACAGCUAUUAUCUGGUGGAAGCAGGAUUUGAACCCUGGCAAUUGGGCUCCAAAGUCUGAUCCUUUGUCUAUAAUGUUGACAAAAACUUGUGGAUGUUGUGGUAAAUUGCUUUCUCUCCAUUUGAAAUCCCAUUGAGUUGAAGAGAUAGACGCAUAGUGAGUAUACGUCCCAAGGAAAUGUAUUAUAUUGUUUUCUGGGUUUCAGUUAAUUCAAAUAAAAUAAAAAUAGUGAAGCAAAGAUUUGGACUAGAUGCUGUGAGGUUUUGUGUCAGCAUGCAACAGUGUCACAACAGUGUCAUCACCACGUUUGGUUCUGUGUUGUGGAUGUAAUAUUUUGCCCCACAUACAUAGAAAGUUCAAUGAAUAGCACUGAACCACAUAUAUACCAAAUUAAAGACAACUUUUGAUAUUAUGUAUUCUAGAGGGAAUCUUUCUGGUAUCAGAAUAUUCAUACUACUGUCAUUGGGAU